This is a small nuclear RNA of Trichosurus vulpecula (common brushtail), 106 nucleotides long. NCBI's taxonomy places the organism in Eukaryota, Metazoa, Chordata, Mammalia, Diprotodontia, Phalangeridae. The record is from RefSeq and is a predicted model, not a curated record.
GUGCUCAUUUUGAAAACAUAUAUACUAAAAUUGGAAAGAUACAUAGAAGAUAGCAUGGUCCCUGAGCAAGGAUAAGAUACAAAUUUGUAAAGCAUUUCAUAUUUUU